CGGCUGAAGGCCAAGGGUGCAGAGAAGUAUUACAUGACAUUGAAACCAACAUAAUUGCACAUCAAUGCCUAUGUCACAAUGUUUAAUAUUUUAGACACACAAAUGCUGUACGAUGCUACUUAUACAUACUUGAAGGUAUAAAGUACAUUAAAAAUAUUAAAUAAAAAAUUAAUGAACCAAAGCUAUUAAAUGGAACUGAAAUGCUAAACGGAAGUUGCAUUUUGGAUUAAGAAAAUAAUAAAACUCUAUGUGUUCAUCUUUUUGGCUUGUGACGUCUAUAACUAAACCUAGCGAGUCAUGGUCACUGAUGUUUUCCAGCUGCUCAUCCCUUUGACGGCAUACAACUGAACUGGUGCUAAUGGACCCUUAGAGUUCCUCUUUCAUCAAAGAGGUAUGUCCAAUCUGCGCUUGUUUCCAAGCCAAAAUGUCCCUAGAAUUAGAGGGCUAAGAGAAUGAGCCACAUUUGACCAUGCAGAAGAAACAGGUAUUUUGUAAGUAGUCUCCAUAUCCUGAUCUAUCUGUAGUAGAAAACAAAUAUCAUUUCCGGAACACUUUCCUUCUUCUCAGGACAAUCUCACAGUACUAUUUUCUCAACGUUGCCCUCUACACACAUAACUGCCCUUGAUAUUGUUACAAUCUCUCCUGCCCAUGAGAGGACAUAGAAAUAUGUAGCAGAGGCUGUGAACAUAUGCUGUUCUGUGACACAGGGCAAUGCUUAACAUACAGCAAAUCUCACCAUGAACAACUCAACUGGCCAAUUAAGAGCUGCCACUUUAUUUUUUCUUUUUUUAUUUAUUAUUUUAUUUAUUUACAUUUCAAAUGCUAUCCCCCUUCCCAGUUUCUCCUCCACAAACACCCUAUCCCUUUGUCCCCCCUGCUUCUAUGAGGGUGCUAGCCCACCCAACCCUCCAUUCCCACCUCAGUGCCAAGCAUUCCCCUAUGCUGAAGAAAUGAGCCUCCACAGGACCCCGGGCCUUCCUCCCAUUGAUGCCAGACAAGGUCAUCCUCUGCUACAAAAGCAGCUGGAGCCAUGGCUCCCUCCCACAUGUACUCUUUGGAUGGUGGUUUAGUGCUGAGAGCUUUGGGAAGGUCUGGUUGAUGAUAUUGUUGCUGAAGGGGGUUGCAACCCCAUAGGAAGAACAAUAAAAUCAACCAACCAGAACCCCCACCCCCAGAGCUGUCACUUUAAAAGGUAAAACAGAUCCUGUUAUCCUCUAAAAAAACAAAAACCCUAAGGUUAUAAAGAUGAAGGAAGACUGGGGUCAGAAGGAUCUUUCUCACAGCAUUAGGUUCGCCUGCGGCAUGCUCCCCAUUGCUUUUUUUUUUUUUUAACGAUAGCCACAUUGAACUGGUUCUUCUCACUGAACAACAUUCUCAAUAAUGUGCAGCUUCGCAUUUCAUUCACGUUUCUUUCAUUCUGUCUUUGCUCAUCAAAUAUGGAUUAAAGUGUCUAUCAUUAGCCAUGAGAAUGAUAUUAUAAUAUUCUCCAUAGGAUAGAGACUGCAUAUUGAAGAUUAUGAACAUCACUGUUUUGGAAUGUACAUUAGAACGGGGAGAGAAACAUCAACAAAAUAUGGAGAAUAACAUAGCGAAUCGUUUUUCCAUGGCAAAAUGAAAAAAAAAAUCAAAAGCAGUCAUCUAUGAAUGGUUCUCACAGGCUACCAUGCAGAAAAUGGAUAUUUGAAUCAAGGCAAAUUUAAUGAAGACAAAAGAAUUCAAAUGACCAGUGAAGAGCUACGGAAAUAAACCAAGUGAAAGACUGGCAAUGUGGACCAGAGGAGGAGGACUGGGGCAGGGAAAUUUACUGGUUUGACUAACUUCAAAAGGGGCAGAAAGAAAAUUUGCCUCUAUGCCUCAUUGCAACAUGACAGACUUUGAUAAGUGAGAUGCCUAAUACAGGGACACUACCCCGUAGAGCACUAAGCAAGAGCUGAAGAAAGAAUUUGACCAUUGUCAUAAAAGCAGGUAUUUACAAUCUGCUGCUCUCACUU
Molecule: non-coding RNA, 1991 nt
Organism: Rattus norvegicus (Norway rat)
Lineage: Eukaryota; Metazoa; Chordata; Mammalia; Rodentia; Muridae
Source: RefSeq, a predicted model, not a curated record